UACGGGGGGGGUAAGCGUUGUUCGGAAUUACUGGGCGUAAAGGGCUCGUAGGCGGCCAACUAAGUCAGACGUGAAAUCCCUCAGCUUAACUGGGGAACUGCGUCUGAUACUGGAUGGCUUGGAUUCGGGAGAGGAAUGCGGAAUUCCUGGUGUAGCGGUGAAAUGCGCAGAUAUCAGGAGGAACACCGGUGGCGAAGGCGGGUCUCUGGGCCGAAACUGACGCUGAGGAGCGAAAGCGUGGGGAGCAAACAGG
This 253-nucleotide ribosomal RNA is filed under the name uncultured bacterium. RNAcentral describes it as "partial 16S ribosomal RNA". It matches the Rfam family "Bacterial small subunit ribosomal RNA", at positions 524 to 776 of the family's 1533-position model. The record is from RNAcentral.